Molecule: ribosomal RNA, 393 nt
Filed under: uncultured bacterium
Lineage: Bacteria
Description: bacterial SSU rRNA
Rfam family: Bacterial small subunit ribosomal RNA
Source: RNAcentral
GACGAACGCUGGCGGCGUGCUUAACACAUGCAAGUCGAACGGAAGGCCCUUCGGGGUACUCAAGUGGCGAACGGGUGAGUAACACGUGGGUGAUCUGCCCUGCACUCUGGGAUAAGCCUGGGAAACUGGGUCUAAUACCGGAUAUGAUCAUGCGCCUCAUGGUGUGUGGUGGAAAGCUUUUGCGGUGUGGGAUGGGCCCGCGGCCUAUCAGCUUGUUGGUGGGGUAAUGGCCUACCAAGGCGACGACGGGUAGCCGGCCUGAGAGGGUGACCGGCCACACUGGGACUGAGAUACGGCCCAGACUCCUACGGGAGGCAGCAGUGGGGAAUAUUGCACAAUGGGGCGCAAGCCUGAUGCAGCGACGCCGCGUGGGGGAUGACGGCCUUCGGUUGU